RNAcentral lists this ribosomal RNA (564 nucleotides) under Arcuatula senhousia (Asian date mussel). RNAcentral's name for it is "partial 16S ribosomal RNA". It matches the Rfam family "Bacterial large subunit ribosomal RNA", at positions 1830 to 2597 of the family's 2925-position model. The record is from RNAcentral. Lineage: Eukaryota; Metazoa; Mollusca; Bivalvia; Mytilida; Mytilidae.
UUCCUUUUAAAAUUAAUUUAAGGUAGGCCCUGCCCGGUGCACAUGAGGUGUAAACGGCGGUCUUAGCGUGAGGAUCUUAAGGUAGCACAAUAAUUUGUCUUUUGAUUGAAGAAUGGUAUGAAGGGGUUAACGUGGGGUAAGCUGUGUCAAAAUGAUAAAUUGAAAUUAAUUUUUACGUGAAGAAGCGUAGAUCUGUUAGAGUGACGAUGAGACCCUAUGAAGUUUUACCUGAAGUUAUCUCAUUAGUCUAAGGGUGGUUGAGUGUUUUUACAUUCUUACCUUAAGGUAAACUAUAACGGUUUUGGUGGGGCCCCAGUCUUAAUAGGUGUAAGAUAGUGUGCAUUUACUUGUGCGUUUAGUCUACAGGUAAGUAGCUUGUGGAUGUUAUAGCUCUUACUAGAUUUUAGCUGUGUGUUACAAAUUUGAUUAACUACUCUAGGGAUAACAGCACGAUCCUCUUCGAUAGAAGUUAUUGACAAGGGGGUUUGUGACCUCGAUGUUGGCUUUGGAUUACUCUUAGGUGUAGAGGCUUAAUGAGCGGGUCUGUUCGCCCUUUAAUUUCCA